AACGAACGCUGGCGGCAUGCCUAACACAUGCAAGUCGAGCGGCAGCGCGGGGCAACCUGGCGGCGAGCGGCGAACGGGUGAGGAACACAUCGGAACGUACCCGAGAGUGGGGGAUAACGCCGCGAAAGCGGCGCUAAUACCGCAUAUUCUCUUUGGAGGAAGGUGGGGGACCGCAAGGCCUCACGCUCACGGAGCGGCCGAUGUCCGAGUAGCUAGUUGGUGGGGUAAAGGCUUACCAAGGCGACGAUCGGUAGCUGGUCUGAGAGGAUGAUCAGCCACACUGGGACUGAGACACGGCCCAGACUCCUACGGGAGGCAGCAGUGGGGAAUUUUGGACAAUGGGGGCAACCCUGAUCCAGCCAUGCCGCGUGCGGGAAGAAGGCCUUCGGGUUGUAAACCGCUUUUAGCCGGGAAGAAAAGGCGAUUCCUAAUAGGGGUCGUUCUUGACGGUACCGGCGGAAUAAGCACCGGCUAACUACGUGCCAGCAGCCGCAGUAA
RNAcentral lists this ribosomal RNA (498 nucleotides) under uncultured bacterium. RNAcentral's name for it is "partial 16S ribosomal RNA". It matches the Rfam family "Bacterial small subunit ribosomal RNA", at positions 29 to 523 of the family's 1533-position model. The record is from RNAcentral.